Non-coding RNA from Salmo salar (Atlantic salmon), 54 nucleotides. The record is from Rfam. Lineage: Eukaryota; Metazoa; Chordata; Actinopteri; Salmoniformes; Salmonidae.
UGCAUUCACUACUAUAAGUCGCUCUAGAUAAGAGCGUCUGCUAAAUGACUAAAA